GGAGAGCGAGCGCAAGGGUUUAUUUCUCAUCUGACCAGAGGGCUGUGUGACCUUGGGCAAGUCACGAAGCUCUGCGUGUCACUUUCCUUAUCUGCAUAAUGGAUCUGACAGGAAGCGAGGGGUUACCAUGUUUCAUAAACUCCAAGGUUUACAAAGGUCACCCGGGACCUCUGUCUUUGUCACCACCCUCUCUGGCUUCUCAGAGGACAAAGAAGGGAGGAACAGUGCGGGGAUUUCAUUAGGCGGCUCAGGCCUCUCACCCAGCGUCCACCUGUAUGCUAGGUAGAUGCGUCUCGACCUUGCACCGAGGGAAGAAACUGAUCCCUCGAGACUCUGCCACUGGGCACAGAAGACCUUUUUUGGAGCCUACACACCUAGCUGUGAGGUUCCCGCCAUCUGCCAACCCCUCCUUCUACCCUCCAGUGGGCCUCACUCUCUGAGGCAGGCAGGGCUGUGAGGCCAGCGGCAGUGUGACCAAGGCCCCACCGGGCAGGUGGCCAAAAGCAACAGAGAGGACACAAGGACCUAGGGGCACAGCUCCACCUCAUGCCUGGGUCUCCGCCCUGCUGUGCAGAGGAGCCAGAAGAACCACCGAUCCUGAUUUAAGACCAGAAGACAAGCUUCGAGGCCUGGAAGAGCCCAGGGAGCUCGCCCUUAAGUCCAGAGGGGUCUACGUUCCUGGGAUGUGUGUGUGAGAGGUCCCGUUACCACAGAGGGCCCUAAGAGAUGGGGCUAAGUGGCCAUCAUGCAUCCAGCUCUGGCUAUCCUGUCAGGGAUAGUCCUCAGGGCCAUGGAAAGCUCCAGAAAGCUCCAGAAAGCUUUGGCUACACACUCCCGAGGACACAAGCGGAUGAGCUGGGGAGACAGGAGCUUUAGUUACAGUCGCAGCGUUUAGAUUUCCUGACUAUGCCACCAGCGACGACCGUAAAGCAACUCGUGUGGUGAGGUCUGGGGUUCUAAGCCUCGCAGAACCCCAAACCAACUGCCACCGCCAGAAACCCAACCACUGCUUCCAAAGAGGUUUUAAAGACAUCCUCAUGAAGGGCAGACGUAAAUACAGCUCUGCUUCGAGUCUGUGGAUGGAUGGGGUCGGAGCAGGGGGGUGGUGGUCAUGCGAUUUCCCGACCCACACAGCUAGAAGAACAAAUGCAUCCGCAAAACCACCUCCUAACAGAGCAACCUCAAGGACUAGCACAUGGCUUGGCUUGGCUCUCUGCUCUGGUCCAGAGCUUAGGACAGAGCCUGGCACACAAUAAACAAUCAAAGCAGAA
This is a long non-coding RNA of Mastomys coucha (southern multimammate mouse), 1271 nucleotides long. RefSeq lists it as uncharacterized. The record is from RefSeq and is a predicted model, not a curated record. NCBI's taxonomy places the organism in Eukaryota, Metazoa, Chordata, Mammalia, Rodentia, Muridae. The transcript is spliced from 3 exons.